AUAUUACAUGAUUUCGCAGGAUAUAGGGGAAGGAGUUCUUGCUUCAUGUGGGUCUUAUUUUAAGUGAAAGCUUGGAGUUAGGCUCAUUAGGUUAGCAUUGGAAGCGGAUGAUUGGCUUACACACAUAAGGAUAUUGAUGUGGUUUGAGCUGAAUGGGCAAAUCAUGUUAUGCAGUUCUAACUUUGGUUCUGUUUAAGGUAGAUGAGUAGCACUUGGAACUGCUUUUGUGCAUUUAUAUAUAACUGAUGGAAAGUGUUGAUGAACUUAAAUUAUGCAUGCAGUUGCUCUGUC
Rosa rugosa (rugosa rose) is the source of this 291-nucleotide long non-coding RNA. RefSeq lists it as uncharacterized. The transcript has 2 exons. Lineage: Eukaryota; Viridiplantae; Streptophyta; Magnoliopsida; Rosales; Rosaceae. The record is from RefSeq and is a predicted model, not a curated record.